UUGCCUUGUGCUCUUUUUUCACAAAAAACUUUAGAAACCCAUAUUAGAAAGCGUAGUUAAUUUCUUAAGAAAGUAAAAAUAAGCUUUUUAUUGCAAUCUUUUCUUGACCGUUUUCUUGAGAGCUGCAUACAGGCUAUUUAAUCAGAUUAUCGGUCUACGCAACACCAUUUUGGGGAGACAAAGCAAACUGGAGGCUAAGGUCGAUGAUUUGCGAAAGAAGAUAACCGAAAAUGUCAGAAGUUUACUCAUUUUCGUAUAAUAUUAUCAGCCCAUAAUGAAAUAAACAUACGAUGCCAGAUCGAUGCGAGGUGGUGGCUCAGCAAUAAACUCUCCGAGAAUGCAAAUUGCUUAUCAAAAAGGUCCAUCAGUCAUUCUGUCGAAUAAAAGGGGGCGCUGUUAUUGAGUUCCAAUUGGAAAUUUCAGAUGUUCUCCUAUUAAAAGCCAUCGACGCAUUGUUUGAUGUGUAGGAAAAACUACAAGGCAAUGAAUAUAAAGAGGAAAUGAUAUCUUACAUAUUCACAUUGGGCGCUCCGUCUGGAAAUAUUGAUGGGACGAUAAAAAAAUGUUUUCGGACGAAUUGUUAAUCAAUUUUAAUUGGGAUGACAGGUGUGGAAAGAGAGCGUUAAUGAAACUUAAGCUCAUUGACCGCAUCUUAUUUGAUAUUUUUAAACUCAAAGGCCGCGUCAAUUUCGAAAAAGAAGUAAAAACAGCGUUCGUGUCAGCCAUAAUAGGCAGAAGCAAAAAAAAGUAUGCCGCAAAAAACCUUCGCAACAGGAAGGCGAAUAGUUUGAAUUUCUUUCUUUUUAACUGCAUUUUCUUCAUAGUGGAUUUUAAUUUUAAGUUUUUAUGUGAAAAUUAGGAUCUUUUUAAUACUUCAUUGAUUUUUCUUGUAUAAUUUUUAUCUUAUAUAUUUACUUUCGGCUUUUUAAUGCUCGACGAAGAAGAAGUUGAUAUUUUAACGUUUUUAUGUAAAAAUUUAUAUAAUUAAUUUUAGUAUUUAAACUUUAUACUAUUGAAGUUUAUCGAGAAAGUCGAUAUUUUUGUUCUUAAAUUAAUAUGUCAAAGAUAUCAUAUGGUUCAGUUUAUUAUAUUAUUGUCUUCAAACAACUGAAGCUUCUAAGUCUUAUAAAGUGUGAUAUUUUAACGUUAAAUCAAGAAAUUCUAAUUUUUGAGAUCCCAAAAAUGUGAUUGAACUAAUGUUCAUUAUAUGUAUUAAUAUUCGACAAUAUUAAUAUCUCAAAGAUCUCGUUUUGUUACCGGAAGGCGAAUAGUUUUAAUGUCGUUCUAAUUAACUGAUUUUUUUCCUAGUGGAUUUUAAUUAUUAAUGUUUAUGUGAAAAUUAAGAGCUUUUUACUAUUGUAGUUCAUCGAUUUUUUGCAGUUUUUAUUUUAUGCUUACUUUUUCCUUUUUUUUUGAGUUUUUAUGUGAAAAUUUAGAUCAUUAAUUUUAGUCCUUAAACUUUUUUUAUUGAAGUUCAUCGAGAAAGUCGAUAUUUUUGUUCUCACAUUAAUGUAUCAAGAUAUCAUAUGGUUACAGUUCAUUAUAUUAAUGUUUUCAAACCACUGAAACUUCU
Rhagoletis pomonella (apple maggot) is the source of this 1573-nucleotide long non-coding RNA. RefSeq lists it as uncharacterized. The record is from RefSeq and is a predicted model, not a curated record. NCBI's taxonomy places the organism in Eukaryota, Metazoa, Arthropoda, Insecta, Diptera, Tephritidae. The transcript has 4 exons.